ACUCAGGGGGCUUCCCUGGUGGCGAAAUGGUUGAGAGUCCGCCUGCCGAUGCAGGGAAUACGGGUUCGUGCCCCGGUCCGGGAAGACCCCACAUGCCGCGGAGCGGCUGGGCCCAUGAGCCAUGGCCGCUGAGCCUGCGCGUCCGGAGCCUGUGUUCGCAACGGGAGAGGCCACAACAGUGAGAGGCCCGCGUACCGCAAAAAAAAAAAAAAGAAAGAAAGAAAGAAAAGAAAUGUUUACUCAGAUUGGACUUUCCUGAUUCUGGUAUUGAAAACACCAGCAGGAGGUGAUAUUCUCACUCGACUGUGAAAAGCGAAAUAAGUGCCCAAACAUCUCCGAGUAAUUGCUUUGCCUCCAGCUUUCCAGUAUUCUCUCCCCCACCCCACUACCCCCAACCCCAGUCAUUUCCCUGCAAAUGGCAUGACCAUUUUCCUUUUUUCUGGUCCAUCUGUCUAACUUCUGAUGAUGCUUCCCACUAGAUCACCUCCCUUCCUUCUCUCACAUUUUGAAUUAUGUAUAUAGAUUGAUGUGGCCUCCUUUCAUACCAUUCUUGUCCUAUGUAUAUCUUCGUUCCUCAUCCCUCUGUGCUGUUAAAUGCAAAGACAUAUUUCAGAGUGUAAGAGCCAUAUAUAUCCGUGGACAUGUUUUCAUGAUAUCACUUCACCUUCACCAGUUUCCUGUCACUCAGCACAAGACACAUGCAUUAAAAAUUUUUCUUUCACGCUGAGAAAAUAAUCUUGGAGACCAAAAAGUCUAUUGAAAAUCAGGAUGUUUCUGAAUAAGACCGCCUUGGGAGCAAUAAUGAAAAGACUUACCAAAGAUGGUCCCUGAAACCUAAACUUGAGAGAAGAUAGGGAAUGUAAAGAAUAGGUUGGAGAGCCAAGAGAGGGAGACCAGCAGAGUAUAGGAUCAAAUGUCAGUUGCCAGCAAAAAAAUACUCAACAAAGAGAGGGGCCAGGCAAAAAGAAAAUUUGCAAGAAUAUAUCCUAUUAUACAACAAAAAUUCCUAUAGGAAAGAGAGCAUAUAAGUGUGAUAUGACUGAAGGUAUUUUCAAACAGAAUACAGAACUAAUGAAACAUAAAAUGUGCAGUGUAGAGAAACAAUACAAUUGUAAGGAAUGUGGGAAAAUUUUCAGUUACUAUUCUUAAUCAUCCAAAGAGUCACCCUUUAUCUUCUCAUUUUGGAGAGAAAUCUUCUGAAUGUAAUAGUUGGAAAAUCUUCAGUGAGAAUGUAACCUUUACUCAGCAUGAGAAAAUCCACUGUGGAGAGAAACCCUUCAAAUUCAAUGACUGUGUGAAAACUUUCAGCAGGAGUUCUCUUAUUAAACAUCAGACAGUGACUCCUCUGGUGGGCCAGUGGUAAAGAAUCUGCCUUACAAUGCAGGGGAUACAGGUUCCAUCCCUGGUCAGGGAACUAAGAUCCCACAUGCCCCGGGGCAACUAAGCCUGUGUGCCACAACUACUGAGCUCUCGUGCCUCAACUAGGUCCCACAUGCCACAAACUACUGAGCCCAUGUGCCCUGGAGCCUGCGUGCCACAACUAAAGAAGAGAAAACCCGUACACCACAACUAGGGAGAAGCCCACGCACUGCAACGAAAGAUCCCGCAUGCCUCAGUGAAGAUCCCGCAUGCCACAACCAAGACCCAACACAGCC
RNAcentral lists this long non-coding RNA (1655 nucleotides) under Phocoena sinus (vaquita). RNAcentral describes it as "lncRNA (ENSPSNG00000004423.1)". Lineage: Eukaryota; Metazoa; Chordata; Mammalia; Artiodactyla; Phocoenidae. The record is from RNAcentral.